This 440-nucleotide ribosomal RNA is filed under the name uncultured bacterium. RNAcentral's name for it is "partial 16S ribosomal RNA". It matches the Rfam family "Bacterial small subunit ribosomal RNA", at positions 338 to 795 of the family's 1533-position model. The record is from RNAcentral.
CCUACGGGAGGCUGCAGUGGGGAAUAUUGCACAAUGGGGGAAACCCUGAUGCAGCGAAGUAGCGUGAGUGAAGAAGUAUUUCGGUACGUAAAGCUCUAUCAGCAGGGAAGAAAAUGACGGUACCUGACUAAGUAGCCCCGGCUAACUACGUGCCAGCAGCCGCGGUUAUACGUAGGGGGCAAGCGUUAUCCGGAUUUACUGGGUGUAAAGGGAGCGUAGACGGCAGCGCAAGUCUGGAGUGAAAUCCCAUGGCUUAACCAUGGAACUGCUGUUGAAACUGGGCAGCUGGAGUGCAGGAGAGGUAAGCGGAAUUCCUAGUGUAGCGGUGAAAUGCAUAGAUAUUAGGAGGAACACCAGUUGCGAAGGCAGCUUACUGGACUGUAACUGACGUUGAGGCUCGAAAGCGUGGGGAGCAAACAGGAUUAGAUACCCUUGUAGUC